Molecule: long non-coding RNA, 422 nt
Filed under: Malus domestica (apple)
Lineage: Eukaryota; Viridiplantae; Streptophyta; Magnoliopsida; Rosales; Rosaceae
Description: long non-coding RNA (MDOM_LNC000694)
Source: RNAcentral
UUUAUAAAAUCACCUUAGUACCAAACUAGUACUUAACUUGAGAAACAUAAUCCGAAAUACUUGCAGAUUUCGCCUGCUCAAUCUCACUGCAAAGGUGGAGUCAAUAGUUUAAAGAGGGUCGCUGGGCUACAUGUAGGUGGGAUGGGCAACUGUGAUUGGUGGUGGUGGGAAAGGAUAGUGGAUUGGGAUGGGACAGCUGGCUAGUAUUCAAUGAAGGAGAAAACAUGUGUUUCGAUAGCAGAAUGAUACAUGUUUGGCUAGAAAAAUAAGGGAUGAUUAGUUAUAGGGUAAAUUACAUUUUAUCCCCUCAGAUUUGGAAUCGAUUUCAAUUCCUUACAACAUUUUUAAAACAUUUCAAUUUCAUACAUUUACUUUCAUUUUAUUUCAAUUUCAUACAUCCGUUAGAAAAUCCGUUAAGUAAA